This 1325-nucleotide long non-coding RNA is filed under the name Homo sapiens (human). Its description in RNAcentral is "HSALNT0377995". The record is from RNAcentral. Lineage: Eukaryota; Metazoa; Chordata; Mammalia; Primates; Hominidae.
GGAGAACCAAAUUACGGUUCAAUGUAUCUGAGACCAAAACUGGUAUAGGACGUUGACAACCGCCCCAGCUCAGGUGUCACCACAUCCGCCAAAGCCUCGCAGCCCUUCUUGGGGUUCCCAGGCGUUGGUGACCCGCCCCGCCCCGCGACAGGCAACCAGCGGGGUGAGGGGGCGGGCUCCACCGCACGUCCUUUGCGCUCCCGGGAGGCCAGAACAACUCCCAGGCCUCCGCCGGCCCGACUCCCCCGAACCCGAGCCUCCCCUCGCCUAAGCCUGCCGUCUUCCCUCCCGGCCCCACGUCGCCCAAUGCCGCACCUUGAGGUGGCUGCGCAGGCCGCCAGCGCCCCCAGACUGGUCGGAGAUCUCGUACGCGCCAGUCACUAGCAGGUCCUUGUGAAUCUCCUCACGGAGGCACUUGCGAGAGUUAAUGGGCAGAUGGAAGGAGAUGGCAAGGACCAAUCUGGGGCCGAGCAGGAACAAAAGCAGCAACGCUAACGGAAAAGGGCCGCGCCGGGCUGGUGGGCCAGACAAACCAGACAUGGUGCUGGAGACUCGUUCACCACCGAAGGCCUCAACCGCGCCGGAACCGGGGGGACCCACGUGACUCACCUCUGACCUUCUGAUGCCGUCCGCGCCAUUUUGGAGACUGGCAUGUAGAGAAAGACUCUAUAGCGAAUCUUUUGAAAAGGGAAGAAAGGAUAGGUACCAUGUCAAAACCGCAAGUUUAAGCAGUUAAAGAAGCUUUAAUAGAAUACUAUUGCAACAGUUUUAUUUUUGUUGAAGUUAGUGACUACUGAGUCGGCCAUGGCAAGUAUGGGCAGCCCUGGAAGUAAUUCUCCUUUAAUUUCCGAAAGAUGUACCCACGAGUUUAAAGGCGAGUGACACCAUAGCAACCAAGCCCCAAUAGGAAACAGCCACAAGGCCCUUCGCUGGGCCCGCCCACCGGCCGCCUAGGCGCGAGGGCGGGGAAUGAGGCUGUGUCUCCGGGGAUGGGGCGGUUUGCAGGCACUCCCAAGCGCCUUUGACACCUUGAUGACACCUGGGGCACUGAGACACUAGAGAGGAAAAUUUCGAGGAAAGAUUUCAACUUGGCUAUUAGACAGUGUGGACCUUAGAGAAGAAGUUUUAGGGGUCACCUGAUGAAUGUGUGCCGGGCAGACAUCCGGUUCAUGUCCCAUAGCAGGGUAUUUGGGCUGGAGUAAUUGUCUGGCUAACUGAAUGUACAUGGUAUUAUUAUUAUUAUUAUUAUUAUUAUUAUUAUUAUUAUUUUAGCAAACAUUGAAUGUGUUCUAAGCUAUAUUCAAAAUAAAUUUGAAUUUGGUAUU